This is a long non-coding RNA of Peromyscus leucopus (white-footed mouse), 982 nucleotides long. RefSeq lists it as uncharacterized. NCBI's taxonomy places the organism in Eukaryota, Metazoa, Chordata, Mammalia, Rodentia, Cricetidae. The record is from RefSeq and is a predicted model, not a curated record. The transcript is spliced from 5 exons.
GGGGGGGGGCGUGCAGAGUAGGUCCUCAAGAACACACUGUUGACUGUGUGGAAUGGCGGAUACACGGAUGGAUAUGCAAAUGAACCAGCACCGCUCUUUCCAGCCACCUUCUAUUAAUAUGUGAGUGUAAAGCAAACAAACCCCCAAGCGGCUUCAGUUUCGGAACGUUUGAUAGCUUUGACACAGGAAGUCAAAACCAGGCGAAGGCGUUUUGAAGUGGUACUCAACCUGAAAGUUGUUUUCUUCCUGUCGAGGUAAGGACUGCAUGACCCCCCUGAAAGCCGAGAAAAGAAAUUCCUGGUAUUAACAGGCAGCCACAGAAAUCAGUCCUGGUGAAAUGCCCUUGGAAAGUAGCUUGUCCUCUUCCAGCAAUGCUGAGAUCUCCAACAGAAGCAGGAAUAGUUAUUUCUGGUACGGCAUCUAAAUCAAAGUGAUUGACACAGGAUAAAAGUUGUACUGAAGUACAAUCUACAUACUCUCCCCGCAGCUGUGGUUACCUGCAGAGAACCUGGAGAGGAUCAAGCCAGUCAACAUGUCCUGUACAAACCGGGCUGCGACUCACGAGACCCCACCUUGUGAUGGCUGCCGAACGGGACCAUAUAUACAUGUUCUUUAUUUAUGGUGUAUGACCCACAUGUGUCCCAGAGCUCACGUACACAGGGCAGAAGACAAUGUACAAGAACCAGUUCUCUCCUGCCACCAUUUGUGUCCCGGGCUUUGAACUUAGGUCCUCGGCCUUGGCGGCAAGUGUCGUUAUCCACUGAGCCGUCUCACAAGCCCAGCAACUGCCUUCUUCUGUUCUGGAGCACGUAUUUUCUGUCCUUUAAUUGUACCCUUUGAAGAGCAAACGCUUUCAAAUCUGAUGCGGUCAUAUUUAUCGACGGUUUCUUUUAUGGGUUGUUCCUUUCGGGUUAUGUUUAUUUUUUCCUCCUGUUCUUUGCUUUUGCUUCUUAAUAGACUUUCACGUACCUUUUAAAAUGUA